CCCUUAGAUGUUCUGGGCUGCACGCGCGCUACACUGAAGCUAUCAACACGUUUUCCCUCCCUGAGAAGGGCGGGUAACCUUUUGAAUCAGCUUCGUGGUAGGGAUCGGGGCCUGCAAUUGUUCCCCGUGAACCAGGAAUUCCUAGUAGACGCGAGUCAUAAGCUCGCAUCGAUUAAGUCCCUGCCCUUUGUACACACCGCCCGUCGCUACUACCGAUUGAACGUUUUAGUGAGGCAUUUGGACCGACGCAUCUCAGUUUAACCGCUGGUUUGUGUUGGAAAGACUUCCAAACUUGAGCGUUUAGAGGAAGUAGAAGUCGUAACA
RNAcentral lists this ribosomal RNA (324 nucleotides) under uncultured eukaryote. RNAcentral describes it as "partial 18S ribosomal RNA". It matches the Rfam family "Eukaryotic small subunit ribosomal RNA", at positions 1470 to 1796 of the family's 1831-position model. The record is from RNAcentral.